UACGAAGGGGGCGAGCGUUGUUCGGAAUUACUGGGCGUAAAGGGUGCGUAGGCGGAUUGGUAAGUCAGUGGUGAAAUCUGUGGGCUUAACCCACAAACUGCCAUUGAUACUGCUGAUCUAGAGUACAGUUGCCGUUGGCGGAAUAUGACAUGUAGUGGUGAAAUACUUAGAUAUGUCAUAGAACACCGAUUGCGAAGGCAGCUAACGAAGCUGUAACUGACGCUGAGGCUCGAAAGUGCGGGGAUCAAACAGG
RNAcentral lists this ribosomal RNA (253 nucleotides) under uncultured bacterium. RNAcentral's name for it is "partial 16S ribosomal RNA". It matches the Rfam family "Bacterial small subunit ribosomal RNA", at positions 524 to 776 of the family's 1533-position model. The record is from RNAcentral.